AAAAAAAACAAGGAACAUGAGCAAUUUAACUUAAAUAUGAUAUAUUUAUGGAUAAUGUAAUGGCAUACCAUUUCGUUCUAUUUAAAUUCUAAGCAGAAAAACAAGGAUGAUGGAUAGAACAUCACAGUUGCAAUAACUUAUAGAAAAAACAAGGUACAUAAAUAAUUUAUCUCAAAUAUGAUAUACUUAUUGAUGAAUUAUGUGAUAAUUCCAUUUAAUUAUCAUCCCAGAAAUAUCCAGUGAAGAGAAAAACAAGGAUGAAGAAUAGAAAAACACAGCUUUGAAUAUCCUGACUCCUGAGUAUCUUCUGAGUUGUUACAAUCUUACAAUGGACCACUUCGAGCUUAGACUUUUGGAAUACCUUCAACUGGAGCUCUCUGAGUUUCUUACAGGCUCCAUUGCCACCUUUUUCUCUAUCUAGUUCAUUUAAGCAAAGUUGAAAUAAUAUGGGAUCUUGCAGAGGCUAUGAAAAAAGAUGAAUAAUAAUAAAUAUGUGAGCAUGAAUAUUAUAAUUAUCUAC
This is a long non-coding RNA of Ctenocephalides felis (cat flea), 520 nucleotides long. RefSeq lists it as uncharacterized. The record is from RefSeq and is a predicted model, not a curated record. The transcript is spliced from 3 exons. NCBI's taxonomy places the organism in Eukaryota, Metazoa, Arthropoda, Insecta, Siphonaptera, Pulicidae.